Long non-coding RNA from Monodelphis domestica (gray short-tailed opossum), 9663 nucleotides. RefSeq lists it as uncharacterized. NCBI's taxonomy places the organism in Eukaryota, Metazoa, Chordata, Mammalia, Didelphimorphia, Didelphidae. The record is from RefSeq and is a predicted model, not a curated record.
AAUUGUAUUCAUUAUUAUAGUAAUUAGAAGAAUCACUCAUAGGGAAAGAUUAGGGCCUUAAGGACUAUAAGAUGAUAUGGGAAAAAAAAGAAAAAGGGUGAGGGGGAAUUGAUAAUGGUACCAAGAGAUACUUGAGGAAAUAGAAAUAAAAUAAAUAGAAUAAUCUUUUUCACACAAAGAUACACAUGGGAAGGGGAGGGGAAGAAUACUCUCAUAAGAAGGAGAGGAGGAGAGUGCUAAUAGGUAAUACUUAAACCUUACUCUCAGUGAAAUCAACUCUGAGAGGGAAGAGCAUCUAGAUCCAUUGGGAUCUUGAAUUCUAUCUUAUCCAACAGGGUAAUGGAGAAGGUAAAACUAAGGGAGGGGUAGGGGGAAGGAGUACAAAAAUGGAGGGAAGGAGAGGGGGGAGGGAACUUAACAGACUAAAAAAAAAAGAAGGGAACAAAAAGGGAGGGACUGGAAAGGGAAGCAUAUCAAGGGAGGGGAUUAGGGGGAUUAAUUAAAAGUAAACGACUGUUUUAAAAGGAUAUAGCAAAAGAAGAAAGGACAGAACUAGGAGAGGAUAUCAAAAUGCUAGGGAAUACACAAGUGACAAUCAUAACUUUAAAUGUGAAUGGGAUGAAUUCAACCAUAAAACGUAUUUGAAUAUGAGAGUGGAUUAGAAUCCAAAAUCCUACCCAUAUGUUGUCUACAAGAAACACACCCGAGGCGGGUAGAUAUUCACAAGGUCAGAAUUAAAGGUUUGAGCAAGACCUAUUGGGCCUCAACUGAUAGAAAGAAGGCAGGAGUUGCAAUCAUGAUAUCUGACAAAGCCAAAGUAAAAAUAGACCUGAUUACAUCCUGAUAAAAGGGAAUAUAGACAAUGAGGAAAUAUCACUAAUCAACAUGUAUGCAAAAAAUGAUAUAGCACCCAAAUUUCUAGUGGAGAAACUAGGAGAAUUGAAGGAGGAAAUAGAUAGUAAAACUAUACUAAUGGGAGACCUGAACCUACCACUAUCAAAUUUAGAUGGAUCAAAUCAAAAAAUAAAUAAGAAAGAGGUAAAAGAGGUGAACGACAUCUUAGAAAAAUUAGAGUUAAUAGAUAUAUGGAGAAAAAUAAAUAGGGACAAAAAGGAAUACACCUUCUUUUCAGCAUCACAUGGUACAUUCACAAAGACUGACCAUAUAUUAGGUUAUAAAAACAUAGCAUACAAAUGCAGAAAAGCAGAAAAAAUAAAUGCAACAUUUUCAGAUCAUACGGCAAUAAAAAUAAUGAUCAAUAAGGAUACAUGGAGAGCCAAAUCAAAAAUUAAUUGGAAAUUAAAUAAUAUGAUUCUCCAAAAUUGGUUAGAGAACAAAUCAUAGAAACAAUAAUUUCAUUGAAGAAAAUGACAAUGAUGAGACAUCCUUUCAAACCUUACAGGAUGCAGCCAAAGCAGUACUCAGGGGAAAAUUUAUAUCCUUGAGUUCAUAUAUUAACGAAUUAGGGAGGGCAGAGAUGGAUGAAUUGGACAUGCAAAUAAAAAACUUGAAAGCGAACAAAUUAAAAACCCCAGAAGAAAACCAAAUUAGAGAUCCUAAAAAUUAAGGGAGAAAUUAAUAAAAAUCAAAAGUGAAAGAACUAUUAAACCAACAAAUAAGACUAGAAGCUUGUAUUUUGAAAAAAACAAAAAACAAAAUGGACAAAGUACUGGUCAAUUUAAUUAAAAAAAGGAAAGAAGAAAAGCAAAUUAACAGUAUCAUAGAUGAAAAGGGGGACCUCACCUCCAACGAGGAGGAAAUUAAGGCCAUCAUUAAAAACUAUUUUGCCCAAUUAUAUGGCAAUAAAUAUGCCAAUCUAGGUGAUAUGGAUGAAUAUUUACAAAAAUAUAAAUUGCCUAGAUUAACAGAAGAAGAAAUCGAUUCUUAAAAUAAUCCCAUAUCAGAAAAAGAAAUUGAACAGGCCAUCAGAAAACUCCCUAAGAAAAAAUCUCCAGGGCCUGAUGGAUUCACAAGUGAAUUCUAUCAAAUAUUCAAGGAACAGCUAAUCCCAAUACUAUACAAACUAUUUGACAUAAUAAGCAAAGAGGAAGUUCUACCAAAUUCCUUUUAUGACACAAAUAUGGUACUGAUUCCAAAGCCAGGCAGGUCAAAAAUGGAGAAAGAAAACUAUAGACCAAUUUCCCUAAUGAACAUAGAUGCAAAAAUCUUAAAUAGGAUACUAGGAAAAAGACUCCAGCAAGUGAUCAGGAGAAUUAUUCACUAUGAUCAGGUAGGAUUUAUACCAGGAAUGCAAGGAUAGUUCAAUAUUAGGAAAACCAUCCACAUAAUUGACCAUAUCAACAAGCAAACCAAUAAAAAUCACAUGAUUAUCUCAAUAGAUGCAGGAAAAGCCUUUGACAAAAUACAACACCCAUUUCUAUUGAAAACACCAGAAAGCAUCGGAACAAAAGGGUCUUUCCUAAAAAUAAUAAUAGAGUUAAUAGAUAUAUGGAGAUAUAUGGUACAUUCUAUCUAAAACCAUCAGCCAACAUCAUCUGCAAUGGGGAUAAACUAGAUGCAUUCCCAAUAAGAUCAGGAGUGAAACAAGGAUGCCCAUUAUCACCUCUACUAUUUAACAUUGUACUAGAAACACUAGCAGUAGCAAUUAGAGAAGAAAAAGAAAUUGAAGGUAUUAAAAUUGGCAACGAGGAGACCAAGCUAUCACUCUUUGCGGAUGAUAUGGUCUACUUAAAGAAUCCUAGAGAAUCAACUAAAAAGCUAGUGGAAAUAAUCAACAAUUUUAUCAAAGUUUCAGGUUACAAAAUAAAUCCACAUAAGUCAUUAACAUUUAUAUCUCCAACACAUCUCAGCAACAGGAAUUAGAAAGAGAAAUUCCAUUCAAAAUCACCUUAGACAAUAUAAAAUACUUAGGAAUCUAUCUGCUGAGACAAACACAGGAACUAUAUGAACACAACUACAAAACACUUUCCACACAACUAAAACUAUAUCUGAGCAAUUGGAAAAACAUUAACUGCUCAUGGGUAGGACAAGCUAGCAUAAUAAAAAUGACCAUUGUACCCAAACUUAUCUAUUUAGUGUCAUACCCAUCAAACUUCCAAAAAACGUUUUUUCUGAAUUAGAAAAAACCAUAACAAAGUUCAUUUGGAAGAACAAAAGAUCAAGGAUACCUAGGGAAAUAAUGAAAAAAAAAUGCAAAGGAAGGUGUCCUUGCAGUCCCAGAUCUCAAACUAUACUUUAAAGCAGUGGUCAUCAAAACAAUAUGGUACUGGCUAAGAGACAGAAAGGAGGAUCAGUGGAAUAGACUUGGGGUAAAUGACCUCAGCAAGACAGUCUAUGACAAGCCCAAAGAUCCCAGCUUUGGGGACCAAAAUCCACUAUUUGAUAAAAUCUGCUGAGAAAAUUAGAAUACAGUGUGGGAGAGAUUAGGUUUGGAUCAACAUCUCACACCCUACACCAAGAUAAACUCAGAAUGGGUGAAUGACUUGAACAUAAAGAAGGAAACUAUAAGUAAAUUAGGUGAACACAGAAUAGUAUACAUGUCAGACCUUUGGGAAGGGAAAGAUUUUAAAACCAAGCAAGACUUAGAAAGCGCCACAAAAUGUAAAAUAAAUCAUUUUGACUACAUCAAAUUAAAAAGUUUUUAUACAAACAAAACCAAUGUAACCAAAAUUAGAAGGGAAAUAACAAACUGGGAAACAAUCUUAAUAACAAAAACCUCUGACAAAGGUCUAAUUACUCAAAUUUACAAAGAGCUAAAUCAAUUGUGCAAAAAAUCAAGCCAUUCUCCAAUUGACAAAUGGGCAAGGGACAUGAACAGGCAGUUCUCAGCCAAAGAAAUCAAAACUAUUAAUAAGCACCUGAAAAAGUGCUCUAAAUCUCUUAUAAUCAGAGAGAUGCAAAUCAAAACAACUCUGAGGUAUCACCUCACACCCAGCAGAUUGGCUAACAUGACAGCUGUGGAAAGUAAUGAAUGCUGGAGGGGAUGUGGCAAAGUAGGGACACUAAUUCACUGCUGGUGGAGUUGUGAAUUGAUCCAACCAUUCUGGAGGGCAAUUUGGAACUAUGCUUAAAGGGUGCUAAAAGACUGUCUGCCCUUUGAUCCAGCCAUAGCACUGCUGGGUUUGUACCCCAAAGAGAUAAUGGACAAAAAGACUUGUACAAGAAUAUUCAUAGCUGCACUCUUUGUGGUGGCCAAAAAUUGGAAAAGGAGGGGAUGCCCUUCAAUUGGGGAAUGGCUGAACAAAUUGUGGUAUAUGUUGGUGAUGGAAUACUAUUGUGCUAAAAGGAAUAAUAAAGUGGAGGAAUUCCAUGGAGACUGGAACAACCUCCAGGAAGUGAUGCAGAGUGAGAGGAGCAGAACCAGGAGAACAUUGUACACAGAGGCUGAUACACUGUGGUUCAAUCGAAAGUAAUAGAAUUCUCCAUUAGUGUCAAUGCAAUGAUCCUGAACAACCCAGAGUAAUCUAUGAGAAAAACCACUAUCCACAUUCAGAGGAAACACUGUGGGAGUAAAAUCACCAAAGAAAAACAACUGCUUGAUGACAUGGGUCAAGGGGAUAUGGUUGGAGAUGUAGACAAUGAUCAUCCUAGUGCAAAUACCAACAAUAUGGAAAUAGGUUCUGAUCAAGAACACAUGUGUUACCCAGUGGAACUGUGCAUUGGCUAUGGGAAGGGUGGGGGGAGGGGAGGGAAGAAUAGAAAAUGAUUUUUGUAACCAAGGAAUAAUGUUUGAAAUUGUCCAAAAAAAAUUUUUUUAAGGCAAAAAAAAAAACAAAAACCCAACAACAAUUCCCCAAUUAAAGGGAAAAAAAAUGUCAAAAGUUGCUCUAACAUCUUGUAUUCGACUGGAGGAAAAUAUAAAUUUUACUAAAAAUAAACCACUAACUUUGCCCUCAGGGAUUUUAUAUUUUAGUGGGGGGGGGGGGGUUAAGUAAGACUAGUUUUUCCUUAAAAGGUGUUUAAGCCAUUCUUGAGACUUGAAGGGCUUAGAAGACUUACAGCCUGUGUUCUUGCCAUCAUUUCUUGGUCAUCUGAGUACAAGAUGGGGUUCCAAGCAUAGCAGACCACUAUGGACAACUCAGAGGCAGGGGAGUAUUGCUCUGUUAGGUCAACUCGGGUUUUCCUCAUGCAUAUCUUGGUUACGCAGUCUUCUCCCAUGGUUAAGGAGAUUCCUUUUGUUAACCGUUGGAUAACUUACUGGUGUCUCAUUUCAUUGCUGUCUAACGAAUCCGCUUUCUUAGUAGGUGUAUUUCUUUUUUUUCCAUGCUUGCUUUUCUUGGUUUCAGUAUGACUUAAACUGUCAGAGAAAAGGGCCUGAAUUAGGUCCAGUCUAGAACCAUAUACACAGAUAUUACAUGAUUGCAUAUAUCCCAAGGAGGUCACUGAUAAGAAAGCCCUCAUCUACAUCAAAAUAUUUAUAGCAACACUAUUUGUGGUAGCAAAGACCCAAAAACAAAGUAAAUGCCCAUCGACUGGGGAAUAGCUAAACAAUUUGUGGUACAUGGUCAUAAUGGAAUAUUCCUGUGUUGUAAGAAAUGAUGAAUAUGAUGAAUCCGGAGGAGCAUUUAAAAAGCUAAGUGAACUGAUGAAGAAUAAAGUAAAUAGAGUCAAGAAAACAGUAUGUGAAAUGUCUAAGACAAUGGAAAUGGAAAGGCAACCACCACAAAACCAUCCAAACUGCAGAAUUACAAAGAACAAGUAUGAACCCAAAGAAGAGAUAAGACACUGACCCCAUCCCUUUACAGAAGUGGAGGAAGUAUCUGGGUGUGAAAUAUUGGAAAAAGCCAACCCCCAAACAAAACAUAUAUAUAUAUAUAUAUAUAAAUAUAUGAGAGAGAUUAGUUUUGCUGUUCCCCCCCUUUCUCUUUUUCUUAACAUUUUAUUUUUUUCCAAUUACACAUAAAAACAAUUUUUUACACUUGUUUUUUAGAAUUCUGAGAUCCAAAUUCCCUCCUCUCCCUACUCUUUUAGAAGGCAAUCAAAUUGCUAUAGGUUACACACAUGCAGUUAUGCAAAACAUAUUUCCAUAUUAGUCAUAGUGUGAAAGAAAAUACAGACAAAAAAAAACCCCUAAAAAAAGUUUUAAAAAGUAUGCCUCAGUCUUCACUCGGAUUCCAUCAGUUCUUUCUCUGGAAGUGGAUAGCAUUUUUCAUCAUGAGUCUUUUAGAUUUGUAUUGAAUCAUCCUAUUGCUGAGAAAAACUAAGUGGUUCACACUUGAUCAUUCUUACCAUAUUGUUGGUACUGUGUAGAAUGUCCUGGUUUUGCUCAUUGUAUCAGUUCAUGUAAAUCUGAGAUUUUUCUUAAAUUAUCCUGCUCAUCAUUUUUUAUAGCACAAUAGUAUUCCAUCACGGCCAUAUGCCACGGCUUGUUAAGCCAUUCCCCAGUUGAUGGGGAUCUUCUCAAUUCUUCCUCCUUUUCUUAAAAAAAAAAAACAAAAAACUUUGUUAUAUGAACUGGUUGUCUGAGUAUAAGGAGUAGGGAAUGAUACUGGGACAAAAUUUUAGCAAUGUAAAAAUACAAGAUGAUAAUGAAAUCUUAUUUAAAAAAUAAAUGUCUUAGAAAUUAAUAAAUGAUACUUCGGAUCUCUGUGACCUUGGACAAAUCACUUCAACUCAGGACCUCAGUUUCCUCAUCUAUAAAAUGAAACGGUUGGACUUGUUGGUCUCUGAGGCACCUUUCCACUCUGAAUCCAGGUCUUAAAAAUCAAUAGAUAUGUAAUUGGAAGUUUAUGAGGUUUUGAGAGGGGCUUCCACCCCUUCUCUGACCACAAGUAGAGAAGAAUCCUUUAUGAGCCUUGGCUCAUUUGAUUUUAUGGUCCUCACUAUAGAUUUCCUGGUUUGGGAAGCCAGGGCUGCCAGGUGAGGGAAUCCCAGAAGGGAAGUUUUUGCUUGAGGAGGGAAAAGAGUAACAAUGGGAAUGUAAUUGGUGUCUACAGCUUGCCCUUUUCUUGAUUUCUGUGCCCAGGAUAAUGAUGGUCUUCGGAGAAAAAUUGCAAAGUUACUUAUGUGGUCCUGAUGCAUACAGGUGGCUGAUUGCUUCCUUCCACCACCACCACCCCCCCUCAGUUUACCUGAACUGGGAAUCAUGGGGGGAGCAUGUGCUAGUGAUAGGUAGAAAGUCUCACAGUAGAAUGAGGCAUGAACUCUACCAUGGCAUGAAGUAUUCACUCUUUCUGCUGUCUUCUAGAUUUAUGGAUUGCGAUUCUGAGUGCUGCUGUGGGAAGACUUUGCUGUUCAUUAUACAGGGGCAGCUAGCUAACACAAUGGAUAGAUCAUUGGGCCUGAGGUAAGGAAGACUCAUCUUCAUGGGUUCAAAUCUAGCCUCAGACACUUAUUACAUGGGUGGCAUAGGGCAAGUCACUUAAUCCUGUCUGCCUCAGUUCCUCAUCUGUAAAAAUGAGCUGGAGAAGGAAAGAGCAAAACACUCCAAUGCCAUUGCCAAGAAAACCCCAAAUGGGAUUAUGAAGAGUAGAACACAACUGAACAACAAUAAGCAACUAUGAAUUCUGUGUUUGUCCCUUCCCACUGAUACUUGUAUUUCUGGUAGAGUGCACUCUGGGUUUAUGGGGGAAAUGUUUUACUGAUGCUUUUUAUUUUUAAGUAUACCAUUUCAAUGAAUUCCUUUGUUUUGAAAAAAACAAUAAACCAAAGAAAAAGACCAGAGGUCAUUUGAACAGAAGACCCAAGGUCUAGCUCUGGCAAUCUAUGCUUCUAUGAGACUAGCAAGACAAGUCAUAGGUCUUUAGGCUAGAAAGAGACCCUAGAUAUCAUCUUGCCUAAACCUUUCAUUUUGAGCAGAGAAAACUGAGGAAUAAAAAAGUCAAGUGGCUUGCUGAUUAUUAUAGCAUUAAUGAAUGUCAAAGCCAGAAUUCAAAUGCUGCUUUUUUAAAUUAUACAGUCAAGGGGGCAGCUGGGUAGCUCAGUGGAUUGAGAGCCAGUGGAUUGAGAUGGGAGGUCCUAGGUUCAAAUCUGGCCUCAGUUACUUCCCAGCUGUAUGACCCUGGACAAGUCACAUUGCCUAUCCCUUAAAACUCUUCUGCUUUGGAACCAAUAUACAGUAUUGAUUCUAAAAUGGAAGGUAAGGCUUAAAAAAAAAAUUAUACAGUCAACAUUCUUUCUGGUCCAUCAUGGUGCUAAUGAAAUUACUGGAUUCUCCCCCCCCCCCAAUAGUUCUAUUUGGUUGGUGGCAUUUGUUUUUCUGUAUAAAUUUUGUUAUUAUUUUUAUCUAAUUCUAUUAAGUAGUCCAUUGAUGUUUUGAUGAACAUUUAAUUGAAUUUAUAAAUUAAAAGAAUUUUAAUUAUUGACAUUUUGACUCUAUUGGCUCAACCAAAUCAUGUGUGAGAGAUAGCCAUCUGAUUGUUUAGUUAUUUUAUUGUUGUCAACAUUAUCUUAAAUUUGUUUUCAUAUAGGUCUGGUAAAUGUUUUAGAAGGCAAAUUCCUAAAUAUUUAGUAUAUUUUGUCAUUAUUAGAAAUGAUCUUUCUUUUUCUGCCAUUUUUUCCCUUCACAGCUAGGGCCCAGUUUGCCUUUUCAGGCUUAUUUCACAAUAUUUUCUUUUACACAUUCCAUAUUCAAAGCUAGUCAAACUAACCUACUUGCUGUUCCCCAUACAUGUCUAUCAUCCCAUGCCUGCCUUUGCACAGAUUGACCCACAUACCUGCAGUGCUCUCUUUUCUUAGACUAUUCCCUGGGCCUGGAAUGCUCUCCUUUCUGACUUAAAAUCCCUAGUUCCUUUGACUCCAGGGCCAGCCAUCUCCUGUAAAUGAUCCCCAUCUCUAGUUGCUAGCCCUCUUCUUACCUUCCUAAAAUUACUUCAUUUUUACUUUGUAUCUGCCUUAAAAAUAGGCAUAUAAAAACAGACCUUAUAAAACUCUUUCUACCUGUACCUGUAUGCUAACUUCCCCAGUAAAAUGCCCUCCAGGAGGGCAGGAAUUGUUUUGUUUUUUACUUUCUGUUUCUAACACCUAGCACUGUAAAUGUUGAUUAAAAUUUAUAUGACACCUUGCUAAAUAUUAACUUACCUUAUUGUUAAGUUAUUUGGAUUUUCUGACUAUACAAUUACCUUAUUUGCAAUUAGGAAUUAUUUUAACCUUUUUAUUGUCAAUAUUUAUUACAUUACAAAAGUUUCCUUUUCAUUCUUUAUUGCUUAACAUUUUGUUGUAGCAAAGACCUGGAAGCAAAGUAGAAGUAUAACAACUGUGAAAUAGCUAAGCAAGUAAUGCUGUAUGAAUGUAAUGGAAUAUUACUGUAUUGUUAAAAAAAAGAUGAAUAUAGAGAAAUCCAGAAUUCAGAGUAAUGUGAGAAGAUGUAUAUGAAUUGAUGCAAAGUGAAGUAAUCAGAACCAGGAAACUAUGAAAUUACUACCAUAAUACAAAAAGAACAAAAAACUGAAAAUGAACCUUGUGUAAUAAUGAUCAAGCUUGGUUUUGAAGAAGAAUUGAGAAAAUACAGGCUUCUUUCAUUGCAAAAGUGGGGACUAUGCAAAAAAAAUUUUUAAUUAAAAAAAGUAGGGUCUGUGGGUGUAGCAUAUUGUAUAUUCUAUCAUACAAAGUUAAUGUGUUGUUUAAUUUUGCUGAAUUACCUUUUCCCUUUCUUUUUAAAUUUCUGUUAUAAGAGGGAUGUAUUCAGAAAUGAAUGUGAUAUAAAAACAAGAGAUAUCAAUAAAAAUAAAGAAAUAAAAUGAAAAUAAAAAAUAAAAUAAAAAA